UAAAGUUGCUAAAAAGAAAGCAGUAAAUCCAAGAAUUGGAUGUAUUUCAGAGUCUAACAAAGGAAGAACGUGAAUCCGAUCAAGAAAGGGAGAAUAAUAUCUGAACAUAAACUGAUAUUGUAGUUAUAGCUGCAAUGCAGAGCUAUCCAGGAUUGUGUCCAUUCAGAAGAACAUUAAAACAUUUAAGCUGCAAUCUAUCCCAGCCUGGUAUUUGGAUCAAUGGAUGGAGUGAGCAUCAGAAAGUCAGAACAGUGUAAAUUUAAGGGAUACGUAUGGAAUCCUGAUGACUUACAAAGCAAAAAUCAUGUAGCUUGCAGCUUGCUUUAGCUGCCAACUACAUUUUAAAGUGAUCCCCAAUGAAGGGUCAACAAAGACCAAGCCAAAGUCAGCAGUUCUCUCAGAAAAGACAAGAUUUGAACAGAUCCAUAAAAGGCAAUGCUGUGAUCCAGUUUGGGUGGGAGCAAAUUGUGCCACAUCACCAUUCCUUUUAGUAAUUGUCUUUUGUAUAUUGGCUGUGCACUUUCAGUUACAUUCCCAAUAAAAAUACCUUUCAAAUUAUUAAA
Molecule: long non-coding RNA, 563 nt
Organism: Stegostoma tigrinum
Lineage: Eukaryota; Metazoa; Chordata; Chondrichthyes; Orectolobiformes; Stegostomatidae
Exons: 3
Source: RefSeq, a predicted model, not a curated record